This 73-nucleotide transfer RNA is filed under the name Xenopus tropicalis (tropical clawed frog). RNAcentral describes it as "tRNA-Arg (TCT) (tRNA-Arg-TCT-44-1)". It matches the Rfam family "tRNA". From Rfam's summary of the family: Transfer RNA (tRNA) molecules are approximately 80 nucleotides in length. Their secondary structure includes four short double-helical elements and three loops (D, anti-codon, and T loops). Further hydrogen bonds mediate the characteristic L-shaped molecular structure. tRNAs have two regions of fundamental functional importance: the anti-codon, which is responsible for specific mRNA codon recognition, and the 3' end, to which the tRNAs corresponding amino acid is attached (by aminoacyl-tRNA synthetases). tRNAs cope with the degeneracy of the genetic code in two manners: having more than one tRNA (with a specific anti-codon) for a particular amino acid; and 'wobble' base-pairing, i.e. permitting non-standard base-pairing at the 3rd anti-codon position. The record is from RNAcentral. Lineage: Eukaryota; Metazoa; Chordata; Amphibia; Anura; Pipidae.
GGCUCUGUGACGCAAUGGAUAGCGCAUUGGACUUCUAAUUCAACGGUUGUGGGUUCGAAUCCCACCAGAGUCG